This 26-nucleotide ribosomal RNA is filed under the name Schizothyrium emperorae. Its description in RNAcentral is "partial 28S ribosomal RNA". The record is from RNAcentral. Lineage: Eukaryota; Fungi; Ascomycota; Dothideomycetes; Mycosphaerellales; Schizothyriaceae.
GUUGACCUCGGAUCGGUAGAUCCUGG